UCGUAACAAGGUUUCCGUAGGUGAACCUGCGGAAGGAUCAUUACUGAUUUGCUUAAUUGCACCACAUGUGUUUUUUAUUGAACAAAUUUCUUUGGUGGCGGGAGCAAUCCUACCGCCAGAGGUUAUAACUAAACCAAACUUUUUAUUUACAGUCAAACUUGAUUUAUUAUUACAAUAGUCAAAACUUUCAACAACGGAUCUCUUGGUUCUCGCAUCGAUGAAGAACGCAGCGAAAUGCGAUACGUAAUAUGAAUUGCAGAUAUUCGUGAAUCAUCGAAUCUUUGAACGCACAUUGCGCCCUUUGGUAUUCCAAAGGGCAUGCCUGUUUGAGCGUCAUUUCUCCCUCAAACCCCCGGGUUUGGUGUUGAGCAAUACGCUAGGUUUGUUUGAAAGAAUUUAAGCUAGUGGCCACCACAAUUUAUUUCAUAACUUUGACCUCAAAUCAGGUAGGACUACCCGCUGAACUUAAGCAUAUCAAUAAGCGG
RNAcentral lists this ribosomal RNA (485 nucleotides) under Candida tropicalis. Its description in RNAcentral is "eukaryotic LSU rRNA". The stretch from base 183 to 336 matches the Rfam family "5.8S ribosomal RNA". Lineage: Eukaryota; Fungi; Ascomycota; Pichiomycetes; Serinales; Debaryomycetaceae. The record is from RNAcentral.